RNAcentral lists this transfer RNA (88 nucleotides) under Thecamonas trahens. Its description in RNAcentral is "tRNA-Ser". It matches the Rfam family "tRNA". Rfam says of the family: Transfer RNA (tRNA) molecules are approximately 80 nucleotides in length. Their secondary structure includes four short double-helical elements and three loops (D, anti-codon, and T loops). Further hydrogen bonds mediate the characteristic L-shaped molecular structure. tRNAs have two regions of fundamental functional importance: the anti-codon, which is responsible for specific mRNA codon recognition, and the 3' end, to which the tRNAs corresponding amino acid is attached (by aminoacyl-tRNA synthetases). tRNAs cope with the degeneracy of the genetic code in two manners: having more than one tRNA (with a specific anti-codon) for a particular amino acid; and 'wobble' base-pairing, i.e. permitting non-standard base-pairing at the 3rd anti-codon position. The record is from RNAcentral. Lineage: Eukaryota; Apusomonadida; Apusomonadidae. RNAcentral also lists the same sequence under 1 other name.
GGAUGAGUGGCUGAGCGGUUUAAAGCGCUGGCCUUGAAAGUCAGAGUAUUCCUUUAGAAUACCGUAGGUUCGAAUCCUACCUCAUCCG